Molecule: ribosomal RNA, 490 nt
Filed under: uncultured bacterium
Lineage: Bacteria
Description: partial 16S ribosomal RNA
Rfam family: Bacterial small subunit ribosomal RNA
Source: RNAcentral
AUUGAACGCUGGCGGCAGGCCUAACACAUGCAAGUCGAACGGUAACAGAAAGCAGCUUGCUGCUUUGCUGACGAGUGGCGGACGGGUGAGUAAUGUCUGGGAAACUGCCUGGUGGAGGGGGAUAACUACUGGAAACGGUAGCUAAUACCGCAUAACGUCGCAAGACCAAAGAGGGGGACCUUCGGGCCUCUUGCCAUCGGAUGUGCCCAGAUGGGAUUAGCUUGUUGGUGGGGUAACGGCUCACCAAGGCGACGAUCCCUAGCUGGUCUGAGAGGAUGACCAGCCACACUGGAACUGAGACACGGUCCAGACUCCUACGGGAGGCAGCAGUGGGGAAUAUUGCACAAUGGGCGCAAGCCUGAUGCAGCCAUGCCGCGUGUAUGAAGAAGGCCUUCGGGUUGUAAAGUACUUUCAGCGGGGAGGAAGGGAGUAAAGUUAAUACCUUUGCUCAUUGACGUUACCCGCAGAAGAAGCACCGGCUAACUCCGUG